RNAcentral lists this long non-coding RNA (357 nucleotides) under Physcomitrium patens. RNAcentral describes it as "long non-coding RNA (PPAT_LNC012266)". The record is from RNAcentral. Lineage: Eukaryota; Viridiplantae; Streptophyta; Bryopsida; Funariales; Funariaceae.
GGGUACAAGUCGAUGGUGGCUCCAGUGUGAAUUUAAUGAACACGGAUACAAUGGAGGACUUGGAUCUAAAACAAUUGCUACCUACGACAUUGCUAUUACAAAUGGUAGAUCAUAGUCGGAUAAAGCCAAUAGAAAUCUUAUGCAAUAUUACCAUUGUAAUUGUGGGAUUGACAUAAAAAAUCAAUUAUAUUGUAUUUCGAUUACAGAGUUCUACAUUAUCGUAUCCCAUUUUAUUGGGCAGACCUUAGCUUUAUCAAGCCAAAGCUAUAAACGAUUGGGGCCGAGGCACAUUGACAAUUGAAAAAGACCGUGACCAAAUUAUUUUACAGAUGUAUCUGGUACAAUAUCAUGGAGAAU